This 247-nucleotide ribosomal RNA is filed under the name uncultured bacterium. RNAcentral describes it as "partial 16S ribosomal RNA". It matches the Rfam family "Bacterial small subunit ribosomal RNA", at positions 526 to 772 of the family's 1533-position model. The record is from RNAcentral.
CGUAGGUGGCAAGCGUUGUCCGGAUUUACUGGGUGUAAAGGGCGUGCAGCCGGGAGCCCAAGUCAGAUGUGAAAUCCCGCGGCUUAACCGCGGAACUGCAUUUGAAACUGGGUUUCUUGAGUACCGGAGAGGUCAUCGGAAUUCCUUGUGUAGCGGUGAAAUGCGUAGAUAUAAGGAAGAACACCAGUGGCGAAGGCGGAUGACAGGACGGCAACUGACGGUGAGGCGCGAAAGCGUGGGGAGCAAA